AUAUACGCUGUGAACGGGAGUAGUAAAAGACUAUGGUGUUCAGAGAGCUGCGGCAAGGUGCGACGCAGUCACCAGAAGCUUUGAAGCUCGCCCGGGAGCGGAGCAGCUGAAACAACAAGUAGGCUGUUACGGUUUGUCCCCGUUAACGGACCUUCCCGCAGGAUGAGGAUGAACCUCAGCGUCCUGCCGGGAAGAGGAGCUGGAUGCAUUCAGCGAGCGGAUAAUAUUAUACUGUUCGACUGUGCAUCAACAAGAGUGGUACCGCGGAGGGGAAACCCGCCGUCUCUUAU
RNAcentral lists this non-coding RNA (290 nucleotides) under Bacillus sp. (in: firmicutes). RNAcentral describes it as "Bacillus sp. T-box sequence". It matches the Rfam family "T-box leader". From Rfam's summary of the family: Uncharged tRNA acts as the effector for transcription antitermination of genes in the T-box leader family. T-boxes are found upstream of many aminoacyl-tRNA synthetase genes and some amino acid biosynthetic genes usually in Gram-positive bacteria. Lineage: Bacteria; Bacillati; Bacillota; Bacilli; Caryophanales; Bacillaceae. The record is from RNAcentral.